UAAGGAAUAUUGGACAAUGGUCGCAAGACUGAUCCAGCCAUGCCGCGUGCAGGAAGACGGCCCUAUGGGUUGUAAACUGCUUUUGUACCAGAGAAAACCUAUCUACGUGUAGAUAGCUGAUAGUAUGGUAAGAAUAAGCAUCGGCUAACUUCGUGCCAGCAGCCGCGGUAAGACGAAGGAUGCAAGCGUUAUCCGGAUUCAUUGGGUUUCAAGGGUGCGUAGGCGGGCUUGUAAGUCAGUGGUGAAAUCUCUCAGCUUAACUGAGAAACUGCCAUUGAUACUGCAGGCCUAGAGUAUAGGUGACGUUGGCGGAAUAUGACAUGUAGUGGUGAAAUACUUAGAGAUGUGAUAGAACACCGACUGCGAAGGCAGCUAACGAAACUA
Molecule: ribosomal RNA, 384 nt
Filed under: uncultured bacterium
Lineage: Bacteria
Description: bacterial SSU rRNA
Rfam family: Bacterial small subunit ribosomal RNA
Source: RNAcentral